Molecule: ribosomal RNA, 500 nt
Filed under: uncultured bacterium
Lineage: Bacteria
Description: partial 16S ribosomal RNA
Rfam family: Bacterial small subunit ribosomal RNA
Source: RNAcentral
AUUGAACGCUGGCGGAAUGCUUUACGCAUGCAAGUCGAACGGCAGCACGGACUUCGGUCUGGUGGCGAGUGGCGAACGGGUGAGUAACAUAUCGGAACGUAUCCAAUAAUGGGGGAUAACGAGUCGAAAGAUUCGCUAAUACCGCAUACGCCCUACGGGGGAAAGCUGGGGACCUUCGGGCCUGGCGUUAAUGGAGCGGCCGAUAUGUGAUUAGCUAGUUGGUGAGGUAAAGGCUCACCAAGGCGACGAUCAGUAGCUGGUCUGAGAGGACGACCAGCCACACUGGAACUGAGACACGGUCCAGACUCCUACGGGAGGCAGCAGUGGGGAAUUUUGGACAAUGGGCGCAAGCCUGAUCCAGCCAUUCCGCGUGAGUGAAGAAGGCCUUCGGGUUGUAAAGCUCUUUCGCAAGGGAAGAAAACUUAGCCACUAACAUUGGUUGAGGUUGACGGUACCUUGAUAAGAAGCACCGGCUAACUACGUGCCAGCCGCCGCCGUAA